CCUCGGAGAGUUUGAUCCUGGCUCAGGACGAACGCUGGCGGCGUGCCUAAUACAUGCAAGUCGAGCGAACAGAAGGGAGCUUGCUCCCGGAUGUUAGCGGCGGACGGGUGAGUAACACGUGGGUAACCUGCCUGUAAGACUGGGAUAACUCCGGGAAACCGGAGCUAAUACCGGAUAGUUCCUUGAACCGCAUGGUUCAAGGAUGAAAGACGGUUUCGGCUGUCACUUACAGAUGGACCCGCGGCGCAUUAGCUAGUUGGUGGGGUAAUGGCUCACCAAGGCGACGAUGCGUAGCCGACCUGAGAGGGUGAUCGGCCACACUGGGACUGAGACACGGCCCAGACUCCUACGGGAGGCAGCAGUAGGGAAUCUUCCGCAAUGGACGAAAGUCUGACGGAGCAACGCCGCGUGAGUGAUGAAGGUUUUCGGAUCGUAAAGCUCUGUUGUUAGGGAAGAACAAGUGCGAGAGUAACUGCUCGCACCUUGACGGUACCUAACCAGAAAGCCACGGCUAACUACGUGCCAGCAGCCGCGGUAAUACGUAGGUGGCAAGCGUUGUCCGGAAUUAUUGGGCGUAAAGGGCUCGCAGGCGGUUUCUUAAGUCUGAUGUGAAAGCCCCCGGCUCAACCGGGGAGGGUCAUUGGAAACUGGGGAACUUGAGUGCAGAAGAGGAGAGUGGAAUUCCACGUGUAGCGGUGAAAUGCGUAGAGAUGUGGAGGAACACCAGUGGCGAAGGCGACUCUCUGGUCUGUAACUGACGCUGAGGAGCGAAAGCGUGGGGAGCGAACAGGAUUAGAUACCCUGGUAGUCCACGCCGUAAACGAUGAG
Molecule: ribosomal RNA, 828 nt
Filed under: Bacillus pumilus
Lineage: Bacteria; Bacillati; Bacillota; Bacilli; Caryophanales; Bacillaceae
Description: bacterial SSU rRNA
Rfam family: Bacterial small subunit ribosomal RNA
Source: RNAcentral